UACGUAGGGUGCAAGCGUUAUUCGGAAUUACUGGGCGUAAAGCGUGCGUAGGCGGCUAUGUAAGACAGAUGUGAAAUCCCUGGGCUUAACCUAGGAACUGCAUUUGUGACUGCAUUGCUAGAGUGUGGUAGAGGGAGAUGGAAUUCCGCGUGUAGCAGUGAAAUGCGUAGAUAUGCGGAGGAACACCAAUGGCGAAGGCAAUCUCCUGGACCUGCACUGACGCUCAUGCACGAAAGCGUGGGGAGCAAACAGG
This 253-nucleotide ribosomal RNA is filed under the name uncultured bacterium. RNAcentral describes it as "partial 16S ribosomal RNA". It matches the Rfam family "Bacterial small subunit ribosomal RNA", at positions 524 to 776 of the family's 1533-position model. The record is from RNAcentral.